RNAcentral lists this long non-coding RNA (818 nucleotides) under Macaca mulatta (Rhesus monkey). Its description in RNAcentral is "lncRNA (ENSMMUG00000059566.1)". The record is from RNAcentral. Lineage: Eukaryota; Metazoa; Chordata; Mammalia; Primates; Cercopithecidae.
CAUCACCCAUACCUGGAAGCCCCUUCAUUAUCCUGUUUAUCUUCUUCCUCUCUCCACUCACAGUAGGCUGAGAUCAGCCUCUUAAACAAGAUCAACUGGGCCUCCACACUUCUAUGUGCCUUGAGAUAAACAACAGAAAUGGCAGCUGAGGAAGCAAGGAAAAGACAUCAUACGUUCUCUCUCGAGCCUGGCUGUGUGGACAGACUCUCCGGUGGACAGUGUAGCACGCGAGAGCAGCUCUCUGGGGCUCCUGACCCAAUGGGCUGAGCAGGAGCCUGGGUGCUGCGCAUGGGUGAGGAAGAGACACUGGAUGGCUCAGCGUGAUCACGGCCUAGAGAAAGAGUGGAGGAGGAUCAUGAGCUGGAAAGAGCUGGAAGAUGAGAGAAGGUCUAGGGCCCCAAAGUGACAGGCCAGCACCUAAGAACAGACCCAGAGAGAGAACCAUCCCCAUUGACUCAGAUGGCUGGGAAAAUUGAAGAACAGGCGUAUCUUAUAAAGCCCAUCUGGAAGCCUCCUUACACACCCCUCUGCCACCUGGUGGCAUCUCCUUUUCUCUUGGAUUCCUGGGGUGUCCGCUGAUGUUGCUGUCAGAAAGCAUUGAACUCUUCCCUCCCGCGAUGCAGCAUGUCCGGCUGCCUCGGAUAUUCCCAGACCGGUCCAGCUGCCCAGCUCUUUACCCUCUGAUUCUUCCCUGCUCCUUCUUCCAAGUCGGAGAGGGACACUGGCUUGUUAUCUUUGGACCCCCAGUACAAGGAAAGAAAGAGACAAAAGUCAUAAAACCACAAAUAGGAAGACCAAGCUGGAGCUCGCUCAUCUAA